UGGGGAAUAUUGGACAAUGGGCGCAAGCCUGAUCCAGCAAUGCCGCGUGUGUGAAGAAGGCCUGCGGGUUGUAAAGCACUUUCAGUGGGGAAGAAAAGCCAAAGGUUAAUAACCUCUAGUCUUGACGUUACCCAAAGAAGAAGCACCGGCUAACUCCGUGCCAGCAGCCGCGGUAAUACGGAGGGUGCAAGCGUUAAUCGGAAUUACUGGGCGUAAAGCGCGCGUAGGCGGUUAGAUCAGUCGGGUGUGAAAGCCCCGGGCUUAACCUGGGAACUGCAUUCGAUACUGUCUAGCUAGAGUAUGGUAGAGGGAAGUGGAAUUCCGGGUGUAGCGGUGAAAUGCGUAGAUAUCCGGAGGAACAUCAGUGGCGAAGGCGACUUCCUGGACCAAUACUGACGCUAAAGCGCGAAAGCGUGGGGAGCAAACAGG
RNAcentral lists this ribosomal RNA (429 nucleotides) under uncultured bacterium. RNAcentral describes it as "bacterial SSU rRNA". It matches the Rfam family "Bacterial small subunit ribosomal RNA", at positions 355 to 776 of the family's 1533-position model. The record is from RNAcentral.